GACGAACGCUGGCGGCGUGCUUAACACAUGCGAGUCGAACGAAGAGCGAUGGAAGCUUGCUUCUAUCAAUCUUAGUGGCGAACGGGUGAGUAACGCGUAAUCAACCUGCCCUUCAGAGGGGGACAACAGUUGGAAACGACUGCUAAUACCGCAUACGAUCUAAACUCGGCAUCGAGGAUAGAUGAAAGGUGGCCUCUACAUGUAAGCUAUCACUGAAGGAGGGGAUUGCGUCUGAUUAGCUAGUUGGAGGGGUAACGGCCCACCAAGGCGAUGAUCAGUAGCCGGUCUGAGAGGAUGAACGGCCACAUUGGGACUGAGACACGGCCCAGACUCCUACGGGAGGCAGCAGUGGGGAAUCUUCCGCAAUGGACGAAAGUCUGACGGAGCAACGCCGCGUGAGUGAUGACGGCCUUCGGGUUGUAAAGCUCUGUUAAUCGGGACGAAAGGCCUUCUUGCGAAUAGUGAGAAGGAUUGACGGUACCGGAAUAGAAAGCCACGGCUAACUACGUG
RNAcentral lists this ribosomal RNA (510 nucleotides) under uncultured bacterium. RNAcentral's name for it is "partial 16S ribosomal RNA". It matches the Rfam family "Bacterial small subunit ribosomal RNA", at positions 28 to 507 of the family's 1533-position model. The record is from RNAcentral.